This 67-nucleotide transfer RNA is filed under the name Marmota monax (woodchuck). Its description in RNAcentral is "tRNA.Thr". Lineage: Eukaryota; Metazoa; Chordata; Mammalia; Rodentia; Sciuridae. The record is from RNAcentral.
GGUUAUGGCUCAGUGGUAGAGUGCUUGCCUAGUAUAUGUGAGGCACUGGAUUCAAUUCUCAGUAUCA